CCGGAUAUGGUGUAAUGGCUAACAUUGCCGCCGCUCGGGCUGAUAAACCAAAUGGAAGUACACUACUGUACAAGGUGUACUUCCAUUUGGCGCCCGAGACGCUGCAGCUCGGGGUUCGAGUCCCCGUAUCCGGA
This is a non-coding RNA of Lactifluus subvellereus, 134 nucleotides long. NCBI's taxonomy places the organism in Eukaryota, Fungi, Basidiomycota, Agaricomycetes, Russulales, Russulaceae. The record is from the annotation of a GenBank genome assembly.